This 253-nucleotide ribosomal RNA is filed under the name uncultured bacterium. RNAcentral's name for it is "partial 16S ribosomal RNA". It matches the Rfam family "Bacterial small subunit ribosomal RNA", at positions 524 to 776 of the family's 1533-position model. The record is from RNAcentral.
UACGAAGGGGGCUAGCGUUGUUCGGAAUUACUGGGCGUAAAGGGUGCGUAGGUGGUUAUGAAAGUCAGAAGUGAAAGCCCUGGGCUCAACCCGGGAACUGCUUUUGAAACUUCAUAGCUAGAGUUCGAGAGAGGUAAGUGGAAUAUCCAGUGUAGAGGUAAAAUUCGUAGAUAUUGGAUGGAACACCAGUGGCGAAGGCGGCUUACUGGCUCGAUACUGACACUGAGGCACGAAAGCGUGGGGAGCAAACAGG